Molecule: ribosomal RNA, 440 nt
Filed under: uncultured bacterium
Lineage: Bacteria
Description: partial 16S ribosomal RNA
Rfam family: Bacterial small subunit ribosomal RNA
Source: RNAcentral
CCUACGGGUGGCAGCAGUGGGGAAUAUUGCACAAUGGGGGUAACCCUGAUGCAGCGACGCCGCGUGAGUGAAGAAGUAUUUCGGUAUGUAAAGCUCUAUCAGCAGGGAAGAAAAUGACGGUACCUGAUUAAGAAGCCCCGGCUAACUCCGUUCCAGCAGCCGCGGUCAUACGGAGGGGGCGAGCGUUAUCCGGAUUUACUGGGUGUAAAGGGAGCGUAGACGGCAGCGCAAGUCAGAAGUGAAAUACCGGGGCUUAACCCCGGAACUGCUUUGGAUACUGUGCAGCUAGAGAGCAGGAGAGGUAAGUGGAAUUCCUGGUGUAGCGGUGAAAUGCGUAGAUAUUAGGAGGAACACCAGUGGCGAAGGCGGCUUACUGGACUGUAACUGACGUUGAGGCUCGAAAGCGUGGGGAGCAAACAGGAUUAGAUACCCCAGUAGUC